CCUACGUGUGGCUGCAGUGGGGAAUAUUGGACAAUGGGCGAAAGCCUGAUCCAGCCAUGCCGCGUGUGUGAAGAAGGCCUUCGGGUUGUAAAGCACUUUCAGUGGGGAAGAAAGCCUUGGGGCUAAUACCCUCGAGGAAGGACAUCACCCACAGAAGAAGCACCGGCUAACUCCGUGUCAGCAGCCGCGGUAAUACGGAGGGUGCGAGCGUUAAUCGGAAUUACUGGGCGUAAAGCGCGCGUAGGCGGUCUGAUAAGCCGGUUGUGAAAGCCCCGGGCUCAACCUGGGAACGGCAUCCGGAACUGUCAGGCUAGAGUGCAGGAGAGGAAGGUAGAAUUCCCGGUGUAGCAGUGAAAUGCGUAGAGAUCGGGAGGAAUACCAGUGGCGAAGGCGGCCUUCUGGACUGACACUGACGCUGAGGUGCGAAAGCGUGGGUAGCAAACAGGAUUAGAUACCCUAGUAGUC
RNAcentral lists this ribosomal RNA (465 nucleotides) under Vreelandella stevensii. Its description in RNAcentral is "partial 16S ribosomal RNA". It matches the Rfam family "Bacterial small subunit ribosomal RNA", at positions 338 to 795 of the family's 1533-position model. Lineage: Bacteria; Pseudomonadati; Pseudomonadota; Gammaproteobacteria; Oceanospirillales; Halomonadaceae. The record is from RNAcentral.